GGGGUUGUGGCUCAAUUGAUAGAGUACACGCCUAGCAUGUGUGAGGCACUGAGUUCAAUCCUCAGCACCACA
Molecule: transfer RNA, 72 nt
Filed under: Marmota monax (woodchuck)
Lineage: Eukaryota; Metazoa; Chordata; Mammalia; Rodentia; Sciuridae
Description: tRNA.Ala
Source: RNAcentral